GAUGAACGCUGGCGGCGUGCCUAAUACAUGCAAGUCGAGCGAACGGACGAGAAGCUUGCUUCUCUGAUGUUAGCGGCGGACGGGUGAGUAACACGUGGAUAACCUACCUAUAAGACUGGGAUAACUUCGGGAAACCGGAGCUAAUACCGGAUAAUAUUUUGAACCGCAUGGUUCAAAAGUAAAAGACGGUCUUUCUGUCACUUAUAGAUGGAUCCGCGCUGCAUUAGCUAGUUGGUAAGGUAACGGCUUACCAAGGCAACGAUGCAUACCCGACCUGAGAGGGUGAACGGCCACACUGGAACUGAGACACGGUCCAGACUCCUACGGGAGGCAGCAGUAGGGAAUCUUCCGCAAUGGGCGAAAGGCUGACGGAGCAACGCCGCGUGAGUGAUGAAGGUCUUCGGAUCGUAAAACUCUGUUAUUAGGGAAGAACAAAUGUGUAAGUAACUGUGAACAUCUUGACGGUACCUAAUCAGAAAGCCACGGCUAACUACGUG
Molecule: ribosomal RNA, 497 nt
Filed under: uncultured bacterium
Lineage: Bacteria
Description: partial 16S ribosomal RNA
Rfam family: Bacterial small subunit ribosomal RNA
Source: RNAcentral